RNAcentral lists this ribosomal RNA (269 nucleotides) under uncultured archaeon. Its description in RNAcentral is "partial 16S ribosomal RNA". It matches the Rfam family "Archaeal small subunit ribosomal RNA", at positions 477 to 747 of the family's 1478-position model. The record is from RNAcentral.
CAGCCCCUCGAGUGGUGGGGAUGAUUAUUUGGCCUAAAGCGUCCGUAGCCGGCCGAGUAAGUCCCCCGUUAAAUCCAGCGUCUCAAGCGUUGGACUGCGGGAGAUACUACUUGGCUAGAGAGUGGGAGAGGUCAGCGGUAUUCUGGGGGUAGGGGCGAAAUCCUUUGAUCCCCGGAGGACCACCAGUGGCGAAGGCUGCUGACUAGAACACGUCUGACGGUCAGGGACGAAAGCUGGGGAGCGAACCGGAUUAGAUACCCGUGUAGUCC